CCACAUCAGAUUGUAUCAUAGUUAAUAAUGAAGACUAUCAAAGGAAAAAGUUCAGCCAGUGUGAAUCUUGUAGGAGACAGUAAACAACGAAGAGGAAGGGAACCACCACCAGCUUUUCUCAGUCUAAAAGAAGAGAAGAGGAAGAGCAUCCCAGAGAGGAGAUGGAGGAGGAAGAGUUAAGAGAGAGAGAAAGAAAUGAUGACAUGCAGAGGUCAGACAGAGAAAGAAACCGGAGCAGACGAGGUGUGGUGGUGAAGUCAUCAUGUACGCUGGUGUUCCAGUUGCACGUGAACCAGGAUGCGUUCUUCCGUUCUCGGGACUCGCACACAAGUACGGACUUGCGUACUUGGUAUUGAGAAAUGGCCAGCACGCAGUUUGAGUAUUGUUGUGCACUGCAAAAAACAGGCCGAGAUUAUAGUUUUUUAUGAUUGCAUGAACACAAAAAGCAAAAGAGUUAAAUAAUUAUCAACACCUUACACUCAAGGAGCAAAACAAUGGACCAGAUUUUCACCACUAUAAACACAAAGUCAGCCUCACACUUUUUGCAAGACAGUACACACAGUGUACAUGUGCGAAAACACUAAACACACUUGUAUACAUUAGACACAGAAGUAUAUCAUGAUGUCACUUCCUUGCAAGUCCAAAGCACUGACUGAUAAAUCAGUACAUCACCGCUGGAGGUGAUCAGCACUGAUGGAGAGCAGCUGCUGGUUUGCACAGCUGCAGCUCAUCCCGAUCACCUCCGGCAUAAAGACAGUCUCCCCACACCGUUCGGUGUGGGUUUCUACUGCUCGUCACUGACAACGGUGUGUGACACAGCCUGCUCCGGUCGACCCGGUCCCGUCCCUCAGAGAGAACCUGCCUGUAGUGAGUCUUGGCCUUAGUUGGUGUGGAUAGUUUUUUUGUUGGAUUUUGUGUGAAUAAACCCUGUACAAUCAUCCUGUCUGCCUGCAAUCCACUCUGUGCAGUUCUCACUUUGGGUUCCAAACUCCAUACGUACC
This is a long non-coding RNA of Amphiprion ocellaris (clown anemonefish), 1001 nucleotides long. Lineage: Eukaryota; Metazoa; Chordata; Actinopteri; Pomacentridae. The record is from Ensembl.